RNAcentral lists this ribosomal RNA (397 nucleotides) under uncultured bacterium. RNAcentral's name for it is "partial 16S ribosomal RNA". It matches the Rfam family "Bacterial small subunit ribosomal RNA", at positions 523 to 918 of the family's 1533-position model. The record is from RNAcentral.
AUACGUAGGGGGCGAGCGUUGUCCGGAAUGAUUGGGCGUAAAGGGCGCGUAGGCGGCCCGGUAAGUCUGAAGUGAAAGUCCUGCUUUUAAGGGGGGAAUUGCUUUGGAUACUGUCGGGCUUGAGUGCAGGAGAGGUAAGUGGAAUUCCCAGUGUAGCGGUGAAAUGCGUAGAGCUUGGGAGGAACACCAGUGGCGAAGGCGACUUACUGGACUGUAACUGACGCUGAGGCGCGAAAGUGUGGGGAGCAAACAGGAUUAGAUACCCUGGUAGUCCACACUGUAAACGAUGAAUGCUAGGUGUAGGGGGUAUCGACCCCUUCUGUGCCGCAGUUAACACAAUAAGCAUUCCGCCUGGGGAGUACGACCGCAAGGUUGAAACUCAAAGGAAUUGACGGGG